RNAcentral lists this ribosomal RNA (253 nucleotides) under uncultured bacterium. Its description in RNAcentral is "partial 16S ribosomal RNA". It matches the Rfam family "Bacterial small subunit ribosomal RNA", at positions 524 to 776 of the family's 1533-position model. The record is from RNAcentral.
GACGAACCGUGCGAACGUUGUUCGGAAUCACUGGGCUUAAAGGGUGCGUAGGCGGGUUGUCCAGUCUGGGGUGAAAUCCCACGGCUCAACCGUGGAAUUGCCUCCGAUACUGACGACCUCGAGGGAGGUAGGGGCGAGCGGAACUGUGGGUGGAGCGGUGAAAUGCGUUGAUAUCCACAGGAACUCCGGUGGCGAAGGCGGCUCGCUGGACCUCUUCUGACGCUGAGGCACGAAAGCGUGGGGAGCAAACAGG